RNAcentral lists this ribosomal RNA (468 nucleotides) under uncultured bacterium. Its description in RNAcentral is "partial 16S ribosomal RNA". It matches the Rfam family "Bacterial small subunit ribosomal RNA", at positions 28 to 507 of the family's 1533-position model. The record is from RNAcentral.
GACGAACGCUGGCGGCGUGCUUAACACAUGCAAGUCGAACGGACAGGCCCUGCUUUUGUGGGGUGCUCGAGUGGCGAACGGGUGAGUAACACGUGAGUAACCUGCCCUUGACUUUGGGAUAACUCCAGGAAACUGGGGCUAAUACCGCAUAGGAGCUCCUGCUGCAUGGUGGGGGUUGGAAAGUUUCGGCGGUUGGGGAUGGACUCGCGGCUUAUCAGCUUGUUGGUGGGGUAGUGGCUUACCAAGGCUUUGAAGGGUAGCCGGCCUGAGAGGGUGGACGGCCACAUUGGGACUGAGAUACGGCCCAGACGCCUACGGGAGGCAGCAGUGGGGAAUAUUGCACAAUGGGCGGAAGCCUGAUGCAGCAACGCCGCGUGCGGGAUGACGGCCUUCGGGUUGUAAACCGCUUUCGCCUGUGACGAAGCGUGAGUGACGGUAAUGGGUAAAGAAGCACCGGCUAACUACGUG